GACGAACGCUGGCGGCGUGCUUAACACAUGCAAGUCGAACGGUGAAGGGACCAGCUUGCUGGUUCUGGAUGAGUGGCGAACGGGUGAGUAACACGUGAGUAACCUGCCCCCUUCUUCUGGAUAACCGCAUGAAAGUGUGGCUAAUACGGGAUAUUCUGGGUCUGUCGCAUGGCGGGCCCGGGAAAGAUAUUGCUUCGGUGGGGGAUGGGCUCGCGGCCUAUCAGCUCGUUGGUGGGGUGAUGGCCUACCAAGGCGGUGACGGGUGGCCGGCCUGAGAGGGUGGACGGUCACACUGGGACUGGGACACGGCCCAGACUCCUACGGGAGGCAGCAGUGGGGAAUAGUGCACAAUGGGCGCAAGCCUGAUGCAGCGACGCCGCGUGAGGGAUGGAGGCCUUCGGGUUGUAAACCUCUUUCGCCAGUGAAGCAGGCCUGCUCCUUGUGGGUGGGUUGACGGUAGCUGGAUAAGAAGCGCCGGCUAACUACGUG
RNAcentral lists this ribosomal RNA (489 nucleotides) under uncultured bacterium. RNAcentral's name for it is "partial 16S ribosomal RNA". It matches the Rfam family "Bacterial small subunit ribosomal RNA", at positions 28 to 507 of the family's 1533-position model. The record is from RNAcentral.